Molecule: long non-coding RNA, 204 nt
Filed under: Sorghum bicolor (sorghum)
Lineage: Eukaryota; Viridiplantae; Streptophyta; Magnoliopsida; Poales; Poaceae
Description: long non-coding RNA (SBIC_LNC002606)
Source: RNAcentral
CCGCCUCUGAGGAGCCAUCUUGACCAUUUGUUAAGUCGGUUUGAUCCAACGGCGCGCGUUCACCCAUCAAGCUAUAAAUAGAAGGAAAGACCCCCUUGAGGAGGCCAGAUCAAGAGAUGAAGAGCCAGAGCAUUAGAUUGAGAUCCGCUAGAUCUAGGCUAGCAAUCAAGAUAGAGAUUAGAUAGAGAUAGAGUAGAGGAGUAG